RNAcentral lists this long non-coding RNA (958 nucleotides) under Mytilus galloprovincialis (Mediterranean mussel). Lineage: Eukaryota; Metazoa; Mollusca; Bivalvia; Mytilida; Mytilidae. The record is from RNAcentral.
UAUAGGUACAGUUUACAAUUUGUAAGUGGGCAUGACGUAAAACAGCAAAGCAAAGAAUUCAACUUUAUUUAUAACUUAUAUAGGACAAUGCUGUUGAUUAAAAAAUACUCCAUUCCAGGGACCUUUUGUUUUCCAAAUAAUUAAUAUUACCAAUAACUGAUAAGUUCCAGUUCUACGGGUUCAAACAGAAAGACUUGAAAGCAGAGAAAAACUGUGUAUCUUAUAAUUUGUCAGCCGUCAUCACGUAAAAACGACGAAUCACAGAAAUCAACUUUAUAUAUAAAAUAUAGUACAAAGGUGUAGUUUAAAAAUUACACCACUCCAGGCCCUUUUGUUUUCCACGUAAUUAAUAUUGCCAAUAAUUAAAAAGUUCCGGGUCGAGUCCGCUACCGAUACCAAUAGUAUAUUUACCUGUUACCUAUUACCUUAUCUGUACGUUCCGCAUCUGACAGGCGCACCACCAAACGUUGUAUUCAGGACUAAUAUGCUAUAUACACGGGUCAUAACCACAGGGUUGACACUACUAAAUUGUCAAAUUGUUACCUAUUGUAGUAUUUUAAUCAGUAAGACUUUCUAAGAUAACAAUACGAAUACUAAAAAUCUGGACUAAAAAUAAGGCGUAUAGGUACAUUUUUCAAUUUGUUAGUGGGCAUGACGUAAAACAGCAAAGCAAAGAAUUCAACUUUAUUUAUAACUUAUAUAUAGGACAAUGCUGUUGAUUAAAAAAUACUCCAUUCCAAGACCUUUUGUUUUCCAAAUAAUUAAUAUUACCAAUAACUGAUAAGUUCCAGUUCAACAGGUUCAAACAGAAAGACUUGAAAGCAGAGAAAAACUGUGUAGUAUCUUAUAAUCGACAUGACUUUAUCAGAUGACAAUACUAAUACUAAAAUAAGGCUUGCGAAUAGUUAUAUACUUUAAUUCAGUCACGGACCCGUGAUAUCACGGGUGUGUUCUAGUA